This 31-nucleotide non-coding RNA is filed under the name Mus musculus (house mouse). The record is from RNAcentral. Lineage: Eukaryota; Metazoa; Chordata; Mammalia; Rodentia; Muridae.
UGGCCCUACAAGUAAGCACCCACUUUUCAGU